ACUACGGGGGGCAGCAGUCGAGAAUCAUUCACAAUGGGGGAAACCCUGAUGGUGCGACGCCGCGUGGGGGAAUGAAGGUCUUCGGAUUGUACACCCCUGUCAUGUGGGAGCAAAUUAAAAAGAUAGUACCACAAGAGGAAGAGACGGCUAACUCUGUGCCCGCAGCCGCGGUAAUACAGAGGUCUCACGCGUUGUUCGGAACCACUGGGCGUAAAGCGUGCGUAGGCUGUUUCGUAAGUCGUGUGUGAAAGGCGCGGGCUCAACCCGCGGACGGCACAUGAUACUGCGAGACGAGAGUAAGGGAGGGGGAACCGGAAUUCUCGGUGUAGCAGUGAAAUGCGUAGAUAUCGGGAGGAACACGCGUGGCGAAGGCGGGUUCCUGGACAUUAACUGACGCUGAGACACGAAGGCCAGGGGAGCGAAAGGGAUUAGAUACCCCUGUAGUC
RNAcentral lists this ribosomal RNA (446 nucleotides) under uncultured bacterium. RNAcentral describes it as "partial 16S ribosomal RNA". It matches the Rfam family "Bacterial small subunit ribosomal RNA", at positions 338 to 795 of the family's 1533-position model. The record is from RNAcentral.